CUAGCCCGGUCUUCAGGGCCGCGAGAUCCGCGGGUCCGGCGCCCGCCCGACCCGACGAGGGGAGGAGGAGCUGUGCAAGACGGGAAAACUCGGGAGCCGCUAGGAAGAGGAGUGUAAAGCUUUGAGCUGUGGGAAUAGGAGGAUGGCUGUGGACGGCCGAGCGCUCGCGAGGCGAGACAGAGACCAGUUAUUUCAAGGCAUAUGUGGAGAAUGAUAUUCAUUACCAUCAACACAGAAGAGGCAUAGAAAAUUCACCAUCUAUCCAACUGGCUGUCUUGGGACCAGAAUUCCGAGCUCAGAAUUCUAUGGCAGGGCUAUUCCCAAGACACCUGAUGGACAUCAUGGACUGGAAGUUUGUACCUUGGAUCCAUUGCUAAUUGUAAGAAAUAUUUGACUCCUACUAUUGGUUUAGUUAAAGGUAAUCAGUUCUACCUUGCACCUCAGCAUUGGUUGUGGUUUUCUGGAGCUCUGUGUUGAAGAUUUUGAGACUGAGUGAACUCUGUCAGCAGGUGCUAG
RNAcentral lists this long non-coding RNA (516 nucleotides) under Cavia porcellus (domestic guinea pig). Its description in RNAcentral is "lncRNA (ENSCPOG00000040748.1)". Lineage: Eukaryota; Metazoa; Chordata; Mammalia; Rodentia; Caviidae. The record is from RNAcentral.